UACGGAGGAUGCGAGCGUUACCCGGAUUUAUUGGGUUUAAAGGGUGCGUAGGCGGCCGAGUAAGUCAGCGGUGAAAUUUUGCAGCUUAACUGUAACAGUGCCGUUGAUACUGCAUGGCUAGGAUUUGGUUGCUGUGGGUGGAAUGUGUGGUGUAGCGGUGAAAUGCUUAGAUAUCACACAGAAUAUCGAUUGCGAAGGCAGCUCACAAAGCCAAGAUUGACGCUGAGGCACGAAAGUGUUGGGAUCAAACA
RNAcentral lists this ribosomal RNA (251 nucleotides) under uncultured prokaryote. Its description in RNAcentral is "partial 16S ribosomal RNA". It matches the Rfam family "Bacterial small subunit ribosomal RNA", at positions 524 to 774 of the family's 1533-position model. The record is from RNAcentral.